This 449-nucleotide ribosomal RNA is filed under the name uncultured bacterium. Its description in RNAcentral is "partial 16S ribosomal RNA". It matches the Rfam family "Bacterial small subunit ribosomal RNA", at positions 29 to 523 of the family's 1533-position model. The record is from RNAcentral.
AACGAACGCUGGCGGCAUGCCUAACACAUGCAAGUCGAACGAGAUCUUCGGGUCUAGUGGCGCACGGGUGCGUAACGCGUGGGAAUCUGCCCUUUGGUUCGGAAUAACAGUUGGAAACGACUGCUAAUACCGGAUGAUGACGAAAGUCCAAAGAUUUAUCGCCAGAGGAUGAGCCCGCGUAGGAUUAGCUAGUUGGUGUGGUAAAGGCGCACCAAGGCGACGAUCCUUAGCUGGUCUGAGAGGAUGAUCAGCCACACUGGGACUGAGACACGGCCCAGACCCCUACGGGAGGCAGCAGUGGCGAAUAUUGGACAGUGGGCGAAGGCCUGAUCCAGCAAUGCCGCGUGAGUGAUGAAGGCCUUAGGGUGGUAAAGCUCUUUUACCCGGGAUGAUAAUGACAGUACCGGGAGAAUAAGCUCCGGCUAACUCCGUGCCAGCCGCCGCCGUAA